AUAGCGGAGGAGCGGCAGUCUGGGGGUCCAGCCCAAAACUUGAACCAACCUCUCAGGGAAGAUGCUCAAAACACGCGGAGGGAGUGAGUUUUCCUGCGACAACCCACACAGGAAGGAUUAUCUGGGAGAUGUUGCCAGCACAACUGCUAAUGCCCUGUAAUGCUUUCUGCAAAUUGGAAACAAGCGGACACUGCCAGUGCUAGUGGGCCCCACAACCAUCAGCUUAAAGCUUUAGACCUAAUCAUGGUGAGAGGAAACCAGAGUACCCAAAAGAAUACAGGGCUGAAGUGAACCCACAAGACUCUUGGUCCCUCAGCAACAAAACUCACCAGACAGUUCGAGUAUGGUGAUGCUGAGGUCAGUGAUGAUGGGCAGAUGGGACAUGCCAAUGUCUUUGCAGAAAAUGCGACCCCCACCCAGCUGACAUUCUUCUGGCAACAAGUCUGUGAAGCUAUCUCUGGACGCAGUACUGUUAUUAGCAGCUUCAUUCUCCUCAUUUUCCUCUUCUUCUUCUUCUUGUCCUUCCUCCUCCCCUUCCUCUUCCUCCUCCUCUUCUUCUUCUUCUUCUUCCUCUUCAUCGUCAUCUUCUUCCUCCUCAUCUUCAUCAUCAUCUCCCUUCUUCCUCUUUGCUUGCUCUUCGCCCAGGUCCAGGAGGCGUUUCUUCUCCUCUCUGAGCUCCUGAAGAAUUGCGCUUAAUUUACCUGGAGCUCCACCUCUCCUUUCCAGGACAGCGUUUAGCUCCACCCACACAGCCUCGGUUCGCCCUAGAGAGGUCUGAUGUGUCAGCAGCACAGACAGGCAGGCCCAGGAACACAGAGCCCAUCAUUAGACAUCAAAUACUGACAUUACGGCAAGUGCCACAAAAAUACAAACACGCCAAAUUUAGAGAGCAAAUAGCAGAGAGCAAAAAAAGAAUGAUGGAAAUUGGUGAGAUGGAAAGCAGCAGCAGCAGAGGGCAGAAAGUGACCAGCACUCUCAUUAUAAUGUGGGCACACCAUACUGAGCUUAGAUCAAGCCCACACUAAAAGAUCUAAAAGAUUUGGGCCCUUUAAUAGACAUACAUUUGGGAAAGCUUUGAUACAACUGUGCUCACAGCUAUUUACGUUCCUUAAUUUAUAUGUACUUAGUGACAAAGUUUAAAAAAAAAAAGCCCAGAGGAGCAUAAAGAUGAGAAAAACAAGCCAAGUCUGCCUGCUGGUUGGCAGAAAAUAUAUUUUUUCAGUAUGUCCAGUCCCACCUGUGUGUCUGCAGCCGUCUCCUUAGAGUGCCCCUUUCUCUGGCUCCAGUCUGCCCCAUUCCCUCCUAUAGGAACACAUGUAUGAUUUAACACACUGUUAUCAACACGGAGUAGCAGCCAGACACAAAACACGGUUUUGUACAAAAACAGUGAGUCAGGAGGUAGAUCAGAAACACCAAAAAACAGAACUUUGUGAGCCACAUCAUUGUAAAACUGACAAAAAAAAGACAAAACUCUGCACUGUGAAUUUUAACGUGUUCAAUAAAACCUACAAACAUAUAA
Long non-coding RNA from Astyanax mexicanus (Mexican tetra), 1519 nucleotides. RefSeq lists it as uncharacterized. The record is from RefSeq and is a predicted model, not a curated record. The transcript is spliced from 4 exons. NCBI's taxonomy places the organism in Eukaryota, Metazoa, Chordata, Actinopteri, Characiformes, Acestrorhamphidae.